RNAcentral lists this transfer RNA (76 nucleotides) under bacterium. RNAcentral's name for it is "tRNA-Arg". It matches the Rfam family "tRNA". From Rfam's summary of the family: Transfer RNA (tRNA) molecules are approximately 80 nucleotides in length. Their secondary structure includes four short double-helical elements and three loops (D, anti-codon, and T loops). Further hydrogen bonds mediate the characteristic L-shaped molecular structure. tRNAs have two regions of fundamental functional importance: the anti-codon, which is responsible for specific mRNA codon recognition, and the 3' end, to which the tRNAs corresponding amino acid is attached (by aminoacyl-tRNA synthetases). tRNAs cope with the degeneracy of the genetic code in two manners: having more than one tRNA (with a specific anti-codon) for a particular amino acid; and 'wobble' base-pairing, i.e. permitting non-standard base-pairing at the 3rd anti-codon position. The record is from RNAcentral.
ACCCCAGUAGCUCAGCUGGAUAGAGCACCGGUUUCCUAAACCGGGGUCGCAGGUUCGAGCCCUGUCUGGGGUACCA